GGCAGCGGGACGCGGAUGUGUCCAGCGGAGCGUCGCAGCCGGUGUCAGUCCGCCAUGCUGCCGGGAACCAGCGGUCAACACGCGGGACGACGCGCGGCUGCGACGGAGACAGACGCUCGGCAACAAGUGUGAGAGCGUCAGUGUUUCCUGCUGUUCAGCACGUGACCAGCAGGGGGUGGUGUGACACCGCGACUGAGCCACUGAACACGGAGGAGUGAAAGAGAAGAAGAUCAGAUCAUCAGAACUUUAAUAUCUCUGUUCAUAAUCAAACACAUUAAAGAUAAUAACUUUUUUAAUUCUACACACACAUAUAUACAUAUAUAUAUGUAUACAUAUAUAUAUAUGUAUACAUAUAUAUACCAUCAUAAAAGAUCCUGAUGUUCCUCCUGUAAACAGCAGAUGGCGCUGCAAGCCACCAAAUAAAACCCUCCGACGUGAAUUAACAAGAAAAAAGAACAAAAGAAAAAUAUGAAAAUGAAAGAAAUGAAUUUUCUGACUGUAACUGAGCUGAUUUGGAAAAUGAAGGUGAACAAAAGUCAUGAAAAAUGUAUUAAGUAAUUUUCAUUUGUACUUUCUGCAGUAAUGAAACAACACGCGUGAGGAGCAAAGUGAAGAAGAAAAAGAGUGAAAUUAAAAUCAAUACAGAAAA
This is a long non-coding RNA of Scophthalmus maximus (turbot), 649 nucleotides long. RefSeq lists it as uncharacterized. Lineage: Eukaryota; Metazoa; Chordata; Actinopteri; Pleuronectiformes; Scophthalmidae. The transcript has 2 exons. The record is from RefSeq and is a predicted model, not a curated record.